CGAACACGUCGAGCUUACACGCAGGGGGGGGGUAACAGCUCACCUAUCAUCUUUUUUCGGAUCGUUCUUAGCGUCUCCCUUGCAUUCGCCUAGGAAGGGCUAGACAAACGCACAUCCCUCCCCCUCCCUCAGAUCCUUCACUUCCCAUAGAGUCUUGAUUGCCACUCGCCUGCUUUUUCGUCUUUACUGCGGGUGCUUCGCAUCCAGUGAUUAGCCGAGCCGCCAUCGCGCGUCGGUGUCGCCACCCCCUCCCUGUGCCUUACCGUCUGUCGUGCAGACUCACAGGACUCACUGCUCUUUGAGGUACGACAGUGGUCCUUCGACCACCCCUCACAGCAAAGAGAAUAGAGACAUCAUACACCAGACAGAGUCACACGUACGCGCGAUAAGAAGCCGUCGACAUCACACGUCAUGGCAGCUCUUGCCGCGCUGGAGAAGGAGGUGGCAGACCUGAAGCGGGUUCGCGUCUUCAAUGAGACGGUGCGCACCGGUGUCGAGCGCGUCCUGGCAAGCCUUCCGUCACCUGAGAAUGAAAAGGAUACAUCCACCAAAGCUCGAAUUCUACUACUUCGCAGCCAAGCGACCCUCUUGCUUCCACGCGUUUCGCGGGAGGCGGAGAAGGAUCUUAAUGCGGCUCUGAAGCUGCAGCCUGGCUCGACAACGACGUGGGUCGAGCUCAGCGAGUGCCUGCUCCGUCGCAAUGCCUUUAAGGAGGCUUGCGACGCACUGGAUAAUGCUCUGCGCGUAAACCCGGCGCAUACCGAGGCGUUGUGCAAGUACAGCCAAAUCCAGCGUAACCGCUGCGGUGAGGAAGGGGUCACGGCUGAGCAGCGCAAGGCGUACUUGGAGGACGCCGUGGCCAAGGCCCGUGCAGCCGUAGGCUCCAACGUGGACGACGCAGACGCAUGGAACACACUGGCGCUGUCGCUGCUGUCAAAGGUGACGCUGGAGGGCAUGACGUUCGACGGCGUGCGCAAGGCACUGGCGGCGAUGCAGCAGGCAGAGCGGAAGUGCCCCGAGGACCCUGAUGUUCCGUACAACAAGGCCGUACUGGAAAGCCUUCUGGGGCACUUCGGGGCCGCAGCGAUGGACUACUGGAAGGCGCACGCCCUCGACAAGGACCGCCUCAAGGGCACCCGCCACCUCUCGGAGGAAAACGCGAAGGUGCUGCUGCGUGCGCAGAGCCGCAUGAGGACGUCCAGCGGCAUUGGCAAGCGUGACUUUCAGCGGAUCCGCACCCGCAUCGAGCAGGCCCACAAAAAGUACACGCAGAGCACCUCCGCCAAGGUCGUUGGCGUAUUAGACAUAGUCACGGAGCCAACGAUGCAACCCGUCACGCUGCUGGUGUCCGAUGGCAAGGGUGACUUUGGGCUUUUGCUCUUGCACGAGGUGCGCCCUACGUGUUUCAAGAUUGGCGACGUCAUUGCCUAUCCCGUGACGACUCCUGUCGAAACCAUCACUCACAACGUUGUUGCCUGCCCGGGGGUGGUGGAGGAACCGUUGAAGCUCACACUGAACCAUGCGUAUCCGAAUCCCAAGGGCAUACUAGUGAAUGGUCAACCACUGCCCUCCUCUGCGCAUGUGCCGCUGCAGAUGUCGUCUCGCCUCUUCGCGUGAGCUGAGCAACAGCGCCUCUGCGUGCUGCUGGGAACGGAGGGGGCUGCAUUGGACGCCGCUGCGCUCCCCUCUCUUCCCCAUGCGUUUUGCACAGUACGCUCUCUCGCAGGCCGGUUUAGCUGUGGUGACAGUCGUUGAAUGGGCAGGAGAUGAGGGGCACGUAAAAUAAUCCACGUGUCGGCAGCCCUUUUUCGUAAACUGUGCGUGCGCGCGUACCUGCGUGUGCAGCGCGCAGUGCAGCGCCACAUGAGGGCAUGACGAAAAAAAAAGCAUACAGAGGAAGAAUGAAGACAAAGGCGGAUAGCUGAAAGCGAACCGCCUUUUCCCUUGCGUGUACGUUGCACGCACGUCUGUGCGUCUCCGACGUGCAGCAUGGAUGCGUCCACCUCUCCCCUCUGCUCGACCUUUUGCACGACGUGAUGGCGAUUGGCAUCGCGCUGCUCAGGGGAUUGUAGGCGGCGGGGUGACGUAUGCGGAUGUAUGGAGAAGCAGCGUCUGCGGUGUGCGCCCUCCCCCCUUGGGCCACCAUCCACCCCGCGCCCACGUGCGCAGAGGAUGCCGGUGCGCCCAUGCUGACAUCUUUCCUCUGUCACCGCCACUUCAACAAUGCCCACAUCUUUUUGUUUUUGUGCUCUCUUCUGCUGUUGCCCUCUGCGCAUACGGCGCAUCCGCUGACAACGCCUGCAUCGCUGCACACGUUCGCUCACCGCUGCUUCAG
Molecule: unclassified non-coding RNA, 2335 nt
Filed under: Leishmania donovani
Lineage: Eukaryota; Euglenozoa; Kinetoplastea; Trypanosomatida; Trypanosomatidae
Description: gene:LdHU3.30.4670(CDS-product:hypothetical_prote in_conserved)
Source: RNAcentral